This is a non-coding RNA of Nelumbo nucifera (sacred lotus), 730 nucleotides long. The record is from RefSeq and is a predicted model, not a curated record. NCBI's taxonomy places the organism in Eukaryota, Viridiplantae, Streptophyta, Magnoliopsida, Proteales, Nelumbonaceae.
ACAUGUUAUCCUCUUCUCCACUGUCGACCUCUUCUCCCUUUUUUCUUAUCCCAAUUUAUCCGGUAAGAGGAGUAACGCAGGACACAAUCUCUCAUCCAAACUCCAAUUUAUCCGAGUGAUGCAGCGGUGGAGGCAACGCAACCCAUGCAAAGGGCAGAUGUGUAGCAGACGAGAAGGCUGAAGGAGAGGGAUGUGGCAGCAGAGAACCUCUAAGGAUGCUGUAGACAAUAAGGAGGAGGUAGAGUUUCUUGACGGGAGAGUUACUAGGGAGGUGGAGGAUGCCUUCGACGAAGCAUCCAUUCUUCCCAACGACUUUGAGGGCGACGCAGCGUCGUUGGAAAUCGUAGAAGAUGCAGGAGAUGUUCAUGCCACCGCCGAGGCUAGCGAGGUAGACGUCCACAGUUGAUUUCUUGCUGUUCCGGCCAAGGAUUAUGGAAUAGAUCUUCAUGUAGUAUUAAAAGUCUUCGCCUUGGAGCUUGGCCUCUCUCAAAAAAUAGAGAAGGAAGAAGGUUGAAAGAAAGAGGGACACCGCCACACAGGAAUGGCCUACAUACUUUUCAGGUUACCAACAUGAGGAUCUUGCAUUGCACGUGCUUUUGCCUAUAGUCUACUACAUACUUCAAAUCUUUAAUUUGUGGGAAUGACGUUUUCAUGUCAUGCGAAAAUGCUUUAAAAGGGUACGUAGGAUGGUCAUUUUGAAAAAUUAAUGCAUCAUUGAACGUUUUCUGUC